This 426-nucleotide ribosomal RNA is filed under the name uncultured bacterium. RNAcentral's name for it is "partial 16S ribosomal RNA". It matches the Rfam family "Bacterial small subunit ribosomal RNA", at positions 354 to 796 of the family's 1533-position model. The record is from RNAcentral.
GUGAGGAAUUUUCCGCAAUGGGCGAAAGCCUGACGGAGCAAUGCCGCGUGAAGGAUGAAGGCCUAUGGGUUGUAAACUUCUUUUCUCAGAAAAGAAUUAUGACGGUAUCUGAGGAAUAAGCAUCGGCUAACUCUGUGCCAGCAGCCGCGGUAAGACAGAGGAUGCAAGCGUUAUCCGGAAUGAUAGGGCGUAAAGUGUCUGUAGGUUGUUUAAAAAGUAUUCUGUCAAAGAUUAGGGCUUAACCCUAGAUAGGCAGAAUAAACUUUUAAGCUAGAGUUUGGUAGAGGCAGAGGUAAUUGCCGGUGGAGCGGUGAAAUGCGUAGAUAUCGGGAGGAACACCAAAGGCGAAGGCACUCUGCUGGGCCAAUACUAACACUGAGAGACGAAAGCGAGGGGAGCAAAUGGGAUUAGAAACCCUAGUAGUCC